Molecule: long non-coding RNA, 626 nt
Filed under: Malus domestica (apple)
Lineage: Eukaryota; Viridiplantae; Streptophyta; Magnoliopsida; Rosales; Rosaceae
Description: long non-coding RNA (MDOM_LNC018806)
Source: RNAcentral
UCAAUUCAUUUAACCCCAAGGUGUUUGGUCAAACGUAAGCCUGCUAGGAGGGCUUCAUAUUCGGCCUCAUUGUUCGACGCCUUGAAUUUGAAACGAAGAGCAUACUCCAUUUCAUCGCCACGUUGUCAGGGGUCGUAAGGACUAGUCCUGCUCCACAACCCUGUUGGUUGGAUGAACCAUGAACAUAUAGACUCCAUGUUAGGGCUGUUGGUUCUAUUUUCUAAGCUUCCGAGGGUAAUGAACCCAUUUUUUAGGCGUAGAAACAAUGUCAAUAGGAUAUGUGAAGUCGAUGAUGAAGUCUGCCACUGCUUGGCCCUUCUCAGCUGGUUUUGGUUGGUAGGAGAUGUUAAACUCACCCAAUGCUAUCACCCAUUUGAUCAUUCGCCCGAAAGUGUCAGGACUUCGGAGUAUCUGUCGAAGAGGAUGAUUGGUAAGCACGAUGAUGAAGUGUGCUUAGAAGUAAGGGCGAAGUUUUCGAGCAGACAUGACCAAUGCUAGAGCCAAUUUCUCAAUGUUGGAGUAUCGUGUCUCCACAUCUUGUAAGGCCUUGCUUGUUGGAAAUGUGCCCUAAAACCAAUCAUGUGAUGAUACUUUACGGACAUUUCACAUGUUAAACUAAUCUAGUU